Molecule: long non-coding RNA, 731 nt
Filed under: Helianthus annuus (common sunflower)
Lineage: Eukaryota; Viridiplantae; Streptophyta; Magnoliopsida; Asterales; Asteraceae
Description: hypothetical non coding rna
Source: RNAcentral
UUCUCCUUCAAAUAACUUAACGAAUCUCUGUAUCUUCUUGUCAAACUCAGUCUCUUCUCCUUCAAACGUUAGGAUUUAAAAAUGGCUUGUGGUGCUAUGUGUCGGUCCCCAAUACGUUUAUUUUGCUGAUACAGUUCCAUUACGUUUAUUUUGCUGAUACAGUUAUAUCAUGUUGUGUAUAGUUUGGUUACGAUCAAAAACUUUUUAUUUACUUUUUAGAAAGGUUUGAUGAAUUUGUGUUACUAGAACUAAGAAAAAAGGACCAUAUAUUAUGUAACGCAAACGUUUUACUCUUUUUACCAUUUGAAAAUUUUCGAUUAAUUGGUGUCAUUUGAGCAUUAGAUAGGUAAAUAAUAGACACGGUCAGAGAAUGGGGUGCACAAAAAUUAUUAAUAGUGUGUAUAGAAUAAUUCUGCAAUUUUCAUUACUAAAGAAGUUUUUCCAUAUUUAAAGAAAACAAAAACAGAUAAUUCAAACUACUUCCUAAAAAGUUGGAAAAUGAGUUACCUGAGAGUCAUGGCAUUUCCAUGAUCCCCUUUAUUUUAGCAAAACUAACAAACUCCAUUUAAUAAAAAUAAAAACAACAAAUAAACUUUAAAUAAAUACCAGUUGAUGCCCCACCAGUGUUGUGGGGCGAUGGCCGAAUAAUGAGUGAGUGUUAGACAACUCAUUGACACGAAAAACAAUUAAAUCGAGUCAAUCAAUUAAAACAAAACACUUUUAUAGUUUUG